Molecule: ribosomal RNA, 302 nt
Filed under: uncultured microorganism
Description: bacterial SSU rRNA
Rfam family: Bacterial small subunit ribosomal RNA
Source: RNAcentral
GUGCCAGCAGCCGCGGUAAUACGGAGGGUGCGAGCGUUAAUCGGAAUUACUGGGCGUAAAGCGCACGCAGGGCGGUUUGUUAAGCUAGAUGUGAAAGCCCCGGGCUCAACCUGGGAUGGUCAUUUAGAAGCUGGCAGACCUAGAGUCUUGGAGAGGGGAGUGGAAUUCCAGGUGUAGCGGUGAAAUGCGUAGAUAUCUGGAGGAACAUCAGUGGCGAAGGCGACUCCCUGGCCAAAGCAUCUGACCGCUCAAUUGUGCGAAAGUUGUGGGUAACGCGAACGGAUUAGAUACCCUGGUAGUCC